CAGUCGCCACGGUAAUACGAAGGGGGCUAGCGUUGUUCGGAAUUACUGGGCGUAAAGCGCACGUAGGCGGACAUUUAAGUCAGGGGUGAAAUCCCGGGGCUCAACCCCGGAACUGCCUUUGAUACUGGGUGUCUAGAGUAUGGAAGAGGUGAGUGGAAUUCCGAGUGUAGAGGUGAAAUUCGUAGAUAUUCGGAGGAACACCAGUGGCGAAGGCGGCUCACUGGUCCAUUACUGACGCUGAGGUGCGAAAGCGUGGGGAGCAAACAGGAUUAGAGACCCCUGUAGUCCCUGUCUCUUAUAC
RNAcentral lists this ribosomal RNA (301 nucleotides) under uncultured bacterium. RNAcentral describes it as "partial 16S ribosomal RNA". It matches the Rfam family "Bacterial small subunit ribosomal RNA", at positions 509 to 807 of the family's 1533-position model. The record is from RNAcentral.